Molecule: long non-coding RNA, 533 nt
Filed under: Phascolarctos cinereus (koala)
Lineage: Eukaryota; Metazoa; Chordata; Mammalia; Diprotodontia; Phascolarctidae
Description: lncRNA (ENSPCIG00000018776.2)
Source: RNAcentral
GUAUGUUUCUCACCUCGUUAAUCAGAACUCAGCAUUUCUUUUUAAACUAGGGAAUUUCCACUUGCUGAAUUCACUGACUAGACAUAGGAUUCAUCUGAGAUGGAAUCUCUGGACAAAAUGGAGUCCUGAAAGAAAUGCCCUUAGUUUAAAUUGAAGACUCUACUAUUGGUUUGUUCCUGAAAUGUUGUGAUUUAAGAAAGUUCAUGUGAGGUGAAAGAGAACAAGAAGAAGAAACAGACAGCAAUUAAGACACACUGCCAAACAUCUGGAGGAGAGAGGAAAAGAAUUAUGGGAAACCAGAUGGAAAGAGUGCUGGCCAGAUAAAAAUGACAGCAAAGUUUCUUCAGAAUGCGCUUGUUCCACUGAACUGCAUGGCCUAUUCCACAGGAAUGAAGGUGCCCUGGUAUACAUCUGAUGGCUCUUAGCCAGCAUCGAGCAUUACUUCUUGGAAAAUGAGGAACAGCACGUGCAUCGAAAUCAUCCUGAAUUUCCUGGUAGGCUAAAAUGCUCUUUAAAUGUGCCAGGGUCAUAGA